RNAcentral lists this long non-coding RNA (1930 nucleotides) under Bos taurus (domestic cattle). RNAcentral's name for it is "long non-coding RNA NONBTAT001709". The record is from RNAcentral. Lineage: Eukaryota; Metazoa; Chordata; Mammalia; Artiodactyla; Bovidae.
GCAAAUGACAUGAGAAAACUUUCAGUGAGUUAUCAGCACACAUUACAUUUUCAGUGCUUUUACAAAGAAAAAAGGUGAUCUGUUUCAUUAAACAUUGAAUUGGCUAAUUCUUGCUCUAAUGUGGCUUUAAUGUCGCACAUACAAUUUGUACAAUCCCUGAUAUAGCAGCCCUAAGAUGAUUUAAAAAUUUAGAAUGCUGUGUGUGUUUCUUAUUUGAUAAUCUUCAUUGAUUGUACUGCAUUUAAUGAGUAUUAAAUAGUGCAUUUUCUGUACACUAUAGGAUUUAGUCUGUGUUUGUAUUUUAUAAUUUGCAUAAAUUGAGCUGACUGAAAUAAGAUUUUGUUCCAGGUAUUCUAGGAUACAAUACAAGAUGAUGCAAAAUUGUGUUUAAAGCUCUUACGCUGUUUAAAAAAAAAAAUUACGACUGCUUUUUGCCAUGUUUCUCUCCCCCACCUAAAAGUAAUGAGUACUGAACAUGACUGGCAUAUUUUUAGGGCUUUGGUAUGUGGUACUACAGAAUACUGAUUGGACAGCAAUUUUAGUCACUUAACCUCCACCAACUAAAAGUUAGCUCCUAAUUCUAAGUUGUCUUAAAAUGCACAUACACUUGUGCAUGUAAAAGCAAGAUGAAUUCAGGUUGUCCUGCUUGCUAAUUUAAAAUGCUAGAGUGUAGCAAAGGAUGAACAUACUUUAGACCCUUUAAUUCUAAAAUGUUUGAAGACCAAAUAGCUACUCCUUCAACAAUAUUUAUCAAUGGAUUAAGAACUGAAGUUUAAGAUUGAACGGAUUUCUCUUUUUUGGGAUCCUGUCCUGCAGCUUUUUAAGUGUCCCUCUGUAUUUAGAUUUGCAGGUUUUAAACAGUACUGUUAAAGUGAUAAACCUGAGAGUAUGCUGAGUGUCCUUUUCAGGUUGCCUGCCUGCUCUUGUGUUCAGGUAAUUACACCAUAAUUAAGCAGAGUUGGGUAUCAUCAAACUGCCAAAUUUGGCAUAGAUAAUAGUUAUUUAAUCUGUACCUAUCUAAACUUCAUGAUAUUUAAAGACUAUUACCACAGAUAACUUGUGAUAAAACUAUUGAGGUAUAUUAAAAAGUUUUAAAUCACCACUGUUACCUGUUGCAGAAAAUAGUACUGACUUAGUCUAGUCUGUAACUGGUUAAAGUUCGGUGGCUUGUCAAUAUUCAACUAGGUAUGUAUAUAAAAAUUAGAAAAUACAUAUCUACCUGGAUAUGAAUAUUAAGUAGAACUUUUCCUUCUAUAUAAUUUGUAGCUCAUCUUUCAUCUUUAAUCCUUUCAUAACUUGUUGCUGCAGUUUGAAUUUCUCAGAUGUUUAUAUUUGGACACACGGCUCAGAAUACUUAUUUAAACAUCAUUAGCUGUAUAUAUUUUUAAAGCAGAAUAAAUACUGGAAAGGGACUUGAUAUGCAAGUUUAUACUAAAAUUCCAACUGUGUGAAGAUAACAUUUAAAGAUAUUACUUUGCUAAUAAUCUAAACAUUCUUUUUAUUAAAGAAGCAGAUGGUCUGGGGUUCACAGCUUUCAUCCUGGCUUGAUGAUAAUCAACUUUGAAAACACAGUGGACUGGAAAGCAAUUAAAAUUGCUUUAAGUUCUUUUAAAGAUUUCCUUUAAAUCUCUACUAUCCAGUUUUGCUUCAGUUUGUAAAUGUGUAACAUUUAUGGUUAAAUAGGACAAAGCAGACCCUAUUGACUAUUGUUUUCAAAAAUUAAACAAAUUGAUAUAUAAAUUAUUUAGAGGGCAUUUUCAUUUACUUUUGGAAAGAAAAAUUUGUCUAAAUGACACAUGCUGGUUCUGCAGGAUUGUACCAAUCAAUUCUUGUAGAAUAAAAAAAAAAUCUUUCAACAAACUGACUUCACUUAUUUCUGUCAAGAUUUAAGUCUUUUUAAAGCUCCUUACCAACUUAGGCCUUGGGGUGC